GUAAAUAUAGUUUAAUUAAAACAUUAGAUUGUGGUUCUAAAAACAAAGGUUAAAUCCCUUUUAUUCACC
Molecule: transfer RNA, 69 nt
Filed under: Bunocephalus coracoideus (banjo catfish)
Lineage: Eukaryota; Metazoa; Chordata; Actinopteri; Siluriformes; Aspredinidae
Description: tRNA-His
Rfam family: tRNA
About the family: Transfer RNA (tRNA) molecules are approximately 80 nucleotides in length. Their secondary structure includes four short double-helical elements and three loops (D, anti-codon, and T loops). Further hydrogen bonds mediate the characteristic L-shaped molecular structure. tRNAs have two regions of fundamental functional importance: the anti-codon, which is responsible for specific mRNA codon recognition, and the 3' end, to which the tRNAs corresponding amino acid is attached (by aminoacyl-tRNA synthetases). tRNAs cope with the degeneracy of the genetic code in two manners: having more than one tRNA (with a specific anti-codon) for a particular amino acid; and 'wobble' base-pairing, i.e. permitting non-standard base-pairing at the 3rd anti-codon position.
Source: RNAcentral